CCCAUAAAAAGCUGAGUUGUUUAUUAUAAGAAGGACCUUUGGAAUCAUCUGGGCUCCCUGCCUUAUGAGGGCGUAGGUUCCAUAUCAUUAGCUGGUUCUGAGGGAAGGGUCCCACCCCGCUUGUUGGCCAUUCUCUUCAAUGUGGGGCAUGCGUAUUACUAGUAAGUACUGAGCAGAUAGUGGGGAAAAGUAUAGUCCUAUCAUCCUGUGGUGUGAUAGCUGGAGAGCUGCUGGCGAUCAUGUGGCUUCUGCAGAUUAGGGGAGAACUGCGCCAAGAAGAUUACACUGAGUAUUACUCUGAAGAAUCUGCAGCUGGGAUGAAAGCAUGGCCACCCAAGUUCAAGUUUCUCGUCCUCUGGGGACCAAAGGCAGGAUGACAAAAGGCGAAAAAGGAAAGCUGUUAGGAAAAAUAAACAGUUUAUCAGGCAAUGCGACAAAGACGCUGGAGAGGAAAGACAAGCUGUCACUUCAAGGAUAGGAAGAAAAAUCCCGUCAUUUGUAGAGGCGUCACAUGCUGUGUGAGUGCCUUGUAAGGAAAGGAAAAAAUCAUGAAAUGAGGAAGCAAAGAAAAAUGGCAGAGACAAAAGAUAAAAUGGAAAACAACUGAAAUCAUUUUCAAGCAAAAAUGCAUGAGUACAGCCUGGGGAGGGGGAUUAGGAGGAGGACUGUACAACUGGAAAAAAGGAAAACUACUUAAAUAUAAUUGAGAAUCAUUCCAAGUAUUCAGAUGUACUGUUUACUUCAGAUGCCAAAUUUCCUGCAUAAUUGGUUUCAGCUGCCCAGCCGGCAUCGGUUUUUGUUUUGUAGCUUUCAAUAUUUUGAGGUCUUUCAGCACAGAAACUUCUGCACCUAACAAGUGCCUAAUUUCUGGACCAAAAUUGCUUCACUGUUUCCCAGAUCUUCAGGUUAGGAAAACAAAACAGCUGAAUUAGGAAAUAAGUUUUAGUUAAAAGGGUUGGGGGCAGGAAUAGCUACAUUAAAACAGUAUUCAUUGUGAAAAUGGUAGAAUUUUUGAAGUGUCAUUUGUGCUAAACUCUCACUGGGAUUAGGGAAGAGGCUCCCAAUUUAACCACUUUCUCCUCUGUGCCACUAAAGUGACUUUUCUCAAGAACUCUCCGUUUCUCUUUUUGUAUCAAAUCAAUAGCUUGGUGAACCUCUUUUUAGAAUGUUUUUAAUGCAACAUCAUUUCACCUCGUUUUACUCUUUCCUGUGGAGAGCUUGAAUCAGCAGAAAACGUUAAAUAAUCUGAAAACAAUCCAAGAAAGACAAGGAGGAGCAAGUGUCAGAUUGGUUAUUAGCAUCCCCGCCCAGUCUAUGCAGUCAAGUAAACUAAUGCAGAGGCAGAAGGACCGUACUUGUGGUUCUGAAACCUUCAGCGUGUGUCAGACUCACCGGGAGCGCCGGAAAACAGACUGCUGGGCUCAUUCCCAGCAUUCCUGACUCAGGACCUGUGAGGCA
RNAcentral lists this long non-coding RNA (1458 nucleotides) under Capra hircus (goat). Its description in RNAcentral is "lncRNA (ENSCHIG00010027985.1)". Lineage: Eukaryota; Metazoa; Chordata; Mammalia; Artiodactyla; Bovidae. The record is from RNAcentral.